GGAAUCCUUUGUUUUGUAUUGAGCUCAAAGCCAACCUUUGUGUAAUGACUUAUUUUCCUCAGAGCUGAAAUGCUGGCCCUGUGAAAGUAAUGAGAAGCACAGUGGAGAUAACUUUCUGAAGGGUGGAAGAGGCUGGAGCCUGUCUAGUGGGAGAAGGUUCCCAGGCACGUGAGAGGCCCAGAAACAGAUUGAGCAGCGGCAAGUGUUAGUGGUUAAGUGCCCAGAUACCUAAGUUUUAAGACCAUUUGAAGCUCAGCUCUGCAACGUAUGAUUCCCAUGAUCCGGGGAAGGAUGAAAUAAUCUCUCCGUACUUCAUCUGUAAAUGCAGAUAAAAAUCGUCCAUACCUGACAGAGGACUCAAUG
Molecule: long non-coding RNA, 363 nt
Organism: Sapajus apella (tufted capuchin)
Lineage: Eukaryota; Metazoa; Chordata; Mammalia; Primates; Cebidae
Exons: 2
Source: RefSeq, a predicted model, not a curated record